RNAcentral lists this ribosomal RNA (704 nucleotides) under Halomonas sp. MB-7. RNAcentral describes it as "bacterial SSU rRNA". It matches the Rfam family "Bacterial small subunit ribosomal RNA", at positions 104 to 804 of the family's 1533-position model. Lineage: Bacteria; Pseudomonadati; Pseudomonadota; Gammaproteobacteria; Oceanospirillales; Halomonadaceae. The record is from RNAcentral.
GGGUGAGUAAUGCAUAGGAAUCUGCCCGGUAGUGGGGGAUAACCUGGGGAAACCCAGGCUAAUACCGCAUACGUCCUACGGGAGAAAGCAGGGGAUCUUCGGACCUUGCGCUAUCGGAUGAGCCUAUGUCGGAUUAGCUUGUUGGUGAGGUAAUGGCUCACCAAGGCGACGAUCCGUAGCUGGUCUGAGAGGAUGAUCAGCCACAUCGGGACUGAGACACGGCCCGAACUCCUACGGGAGGCAGCAGUGGGGAAUAUUGGACAAUGGGCGAAAGCCUGAUCCAGCCAUGCCGCGUGUGUGAAGAAGGCUUUCGGGUUGUAAAGCACUUUCAGUGAGGAAGAAGGCCUUGGGGCUAAUACCCCCGAGGAAGGACAUCACUCACAGAAGAAGCACCGGCUAACUCCGUGCCAGCAGCCGCGGUAAUACGGAGGGUGCGAGCGUUAAUCGGAAUUACUGGGCGUAAAGCGCGCGUAGGCGGCGUGAUAAGCCGGUUGUGAAAGCCCCGGGCUCAACCUGGGAACGGCAUCCGGAACUGUCAGGCUAGAGUGCAGGAGAGGAAGGUAGAAUUCCCGGUGUAGCGGUGAAAUGCGUAGAGAUCGGGAGGAAUACCAGUGGCGAAGGCGGCCUUCUGGACUGACACUGACGCUGAGGUGCGAAAGCGUGGGUAGCAAACAGGAUUAGAUACCCUGGUAGUCCACGCCGUA